Molecule: ribosomal RNA, 413 nt
Filed under: uncultured bacterium
Lineage: Bacteria
Description: bacterial SSU rRNA
Rfam family: Bacterial small subunit ribosomal RNA
Source: RNAcentral
GUGCCAGCAGCCGCGGUAAUACAGAGGGUGCAAGCGUUAAUCGGAAUUACUGGGCGUAAAGGGCGCGCAGGCGGCACGCUAAGUACACCGUGAAAUCUCCCUGCUCAACGGGGAGGGAGCGAUGUAGACUGGCGAGCUAGAGGACGGUAGAGGGGGGUAGAAUUGCUGGUGUAGCGGUGAAAUGCGUAGAGAUCAGCAGGAAUACCCGUGGCGAAGGCGGCCCCCUGGGCCGAACCUGACGCUGAGGCGCGAAGGCUAGGGGAGCGAACGGGAUUAGAUACCCCGGUAGUCCUAGCAGUAAACGAUGGCCACUAGGUGUGGGGGGUGUUGACCCCUUCCGUGCCGAAGCUAACGCAUUAAGUGGCCCGCCUGGGGAGUACGGUCGCAAGACUAAAACUCAAAGGAAUUGACGG